GCAAUAGUAAACUAAUUAAAGUUUGUAGGAUUCAUAAUUCUGAUUAUGCGUGAGAGCGCCUAUUGAA
RNAcentral lists this transfer RNA (67 nucleotides) under Halocynthia papillosa. RNAcentral describes it as "transfer RNA-Met (CAT)". The record is from RNAcentral. Lineage: Eukaryota; Metazoa; Chordata; Ascidiacea; Stolidobranchia; Pyuridae.